AUGCCAUGGAGGCCAUGGACAAGAGGGGAAACCCUUCUCCCAUCUAGGGAGAGGGUCAAGGAAAAAGAAGGAAGAAGGGGGCUCUCUCCCCCUCUCUCCCGGUGGCGCCGGAACGCCGUCGGGGCCAUCAUCAUCACCGCGAUCUACACCAACACCUCGGCCAUCUUCACCAACAUCUCCAUCACCUUCCCCCCUCUAUCUACAGCGGUCCACUCUCCCGCAACCCGUUGUACCCUCUACUUGAACAUGGUGCUUUAUGCAUCAUAUUAUUAUCCAAUGAUGUGUUGCCAUCCUAUGAUGUUUGAGUAG
This 309-nucleotide ribosomal RNA is filed under the name Triticum aestivum (bread wheat). RNAcentral describes it as "partial small subunit ribosomal RNA". Lineage: Eukaryota; Viridiplantae; Streptophyta; Magnoliopsida; Poales; Poaceae. The record is from RNAcentral.